Molecule: long non-coding RNA, 719 nt
Organism: Pseudophryne corroboree (corroboree frog)
Lineage: Eukaryota; Metazoa; Chordata; Amphibia; Anura; Myobatrachidae
Exons: 3
Source: RefSeq, a predicted model, not a curated record
CCUUGUAAUUAAUUUUCUCUAGAAUGAGAAGGAAAAUCUUGAAGGAUUAUUACAGACAUGGCUGUUUCCACAGAUAACGGCAGUACAAUGGUGCGCUUUAUGGUGCCAUACAUUAUGCCAAUGGGCACUCAAUUUGGUUUCCCUACAUUCAGAAGGAUACAAUUAAGCUACAGGGCCUGAGUGUAAGGGUGAGCCGCUUAACUCCAUUGUGCUGCAAGGAAUGGCAGAGGGGAUUGAGCAACCACAGUAUGCUUUGCGGACACCUCAGAAAAGGUCAGCAUGUGGCGUUCAUCAGUGGAAACUAAUGAUCGAAUCGACGUUACUCCGGCCUCCCCCCACAUAUCAAAGGAGUGAGCAGCCAUGCCGCCCAAAAAUUCAGGAAUUUGGGUUAAAGGUAGAUGUAGAGAAUGAUGUUGGCACAACCCCGUGUUAUGACGCAAGAUACGCCACAUUCUCCUAGUAGACCAUAAAAGCGGAUUCGAUUUGGUAUGGUCCGAGAUUUCCUGAUCAUGUUGAUGGAGAAAACACGUCAAGUCAAAGUUUGUCAAGAAGCUCUGUUCCACAGACGUAUUCGUGUAAACAGAGCUGUUUUGUAGCCAAUCCCUCAGAUGUCUCAGAAGCACAGCCUGAUUAUAAACUACUACAUCGGGGAAGUUGAUCCCUCCAUUAGAUUUAGGCUGAACAAGUUUAUGUAAUGCUAUACGGGCACGUCCCCCCUU